Molecule: long non-coding RNA, 2627 nt
Organism: Anopheles funestus (African malaria mosquito)
Lineage: Eukaryota; Metazoa; Arthropoda; Insecta; Diptera; Culicidae
Exons: 3
Source: RefSeq, a predicted model, not a curated record
GUGAAAAGAAACAUAUUGCAACUAAUUCGCAUUAAAACAUAUCAAUUUUUUACAUUUUGCUAAAUUACUCAAAAAAUGGUAUGGAAUUUGGUUCCUCGAAUAACUUCUGGCACAGACAUCUGAGGGCAUGGCCGUCCAAGAAGAAAAUGUAGCCAUUGAUGCCAUCUAUCGACCACAGUUUAAAGAUUGACGAUCCGUUUGAAAGGGACCGAGUUAUAGACAAAACUUGGUGCAAAAAUGAGGAAAAUUUUACAUUUUAUCAAACAGGGUAUGGAACUUGGUUUCUCGAAUAACUUCUGGCACAAACAUCUGAGGGCAUGGCCGUCCAAGAAGAAAAUGUAGCCAUUGAUGCCAUCUAUCGACCACAGGCAAAGAUUGGCGAUCCGUUGAAUGCCGACAGAGUUAGAGACAAAACUUGGUGCAAAAAUGAGGAAAAUUUUACAUUUUCACAAACAGGGUAUGGAACUUGGUUUCUCGAAUAACUUCUGGCACAGACAUCUGAGGGCAUGGCCGUCCAAGAAGAAAAUGUAGCCAUUGAUGCCAUCUAUUGACCACAGGCAAAGAUUGGCGAUCCGUUGGAUACUAAUCGAGUUAUAGGCAAAACUUGGUGCAAAAAUGAGGAAAAUUUUACAUUUUCACAAACAGGGUAUGGAACUUGGUUCCUCGAAUAACUUCUGGCACAGACAUCUGAGGGCAUGGCCGUCCAAGAAGAAAAUGUAGCCAUUGAUGCCAUCUAUUGACCACAGGCAAAAAUUGGCGAUCCGUUGGAUACUAAUCGAGUUAUAGGCAAAACUUGGUGCAAAAAUGAGGAAAAUUUUACAUUUUCACAAACAGGGUAUGGAACUUGGUUCCUCGAAUAACUUCUGGCACAGACAUCUGAGGGCAUGGCCGUCCAAGAAGAAAAUGUAGCCAUUGGUGCCAUCUAUCGACCACAGUUCAAAUAUUGGAAAUCCGUUGGAUACCAACCGAGUUAUAGACAAAACUUGGUGCAAAAAUGAGCCUUGGAGAUUGGUAAAUGUAUAGAUUUUUUUGAUUUUUUUAAUGUUUUGUAUGCUUUUUUAUUUUAAAGCAUUAUUUGAGUGAAAAGAAACUUAUUGUAACAAUUUCGCAUGAAAAUAAAACAAUUUUUUAAAUUUUGCUAAUUUGCUCAAAAAAAUGGCAAGGGGUACCCCUUAUGAAAUUUUCGAGUUGAAAAUAUUUUUUUUAUUUUUUUGUUAUUUUUUAUUCUUUUCUUCUUCUAAAACAUUAUUUGAGUGAAAAGAAACUUAUUGCAACUAAUUCGCAUUAAAACAUAUCAAAUUUUUACAUUUUGCUAAAUUACUCAAAAAAUGGUAUGGAAUUUGGUUCCUCCAAUAACUUCUGGCACAGACAUCUGAGGGCAUGGCCGUCCAAGAAGAAAAUGUAGCCAUUGAUGCCAUCUAUCGACCACAGUUUAAAGAUUGACGAUCCGUUGGAUAGGGACCGAGUUAUAGACAAAACUUGGUGCAAAAAUGAGGAAAAUUUUACAUUUUAUCAAACAGGGUAUGGAACUUGGUUUCUCGAAUAACUUCUGGCACAGACAUCUGAGGGCAUGGCCGUCCAAGAAGAAAAUGUAGCCAUUGAUGCCAUCUAUCGACCACAGGCAAAGAUUGGCGAUCCGUUGGAUACCGACCGAGUUAUAGACAAAUCUUGGUGCAAAAAUGAGCCUUGGAGAUUGGUAAAUGUAUAGAUUUUUUUAUUUUUUUAAUGUUUUGUAUGCUUUUUUAUUUUAAAGCAUUGUUUGAGUGAAAAGAAACUUAUUGUAACAAUUUCGCAUGAAAAUAAAACAAUUUUUUAAAUUUUGCUAAUUUGCUCAAAAAAAUGGCAAGGGGUACCCCUUAUGAAAUUUUCGAGUUGAAAAUAUUUUUUUUAUUUUUUUGUUAUUUUUUAUUCUUUUCUUCUUGUAAAACAUUAUUUGAGUGAAAAGAAACUUAUUGCAACUAAUUCGCAUUAAUAUUUAUCAAAAUUUUGCUAAAUUACUCAAAAAAUGGUAUGGAAUUUGGUUCCUCGAAUAACUUCUGGCAUAGACAUCUGAGGGCAUGGCCGUCCAAGAAGAAAAUGUAGCCAUUGAUGCCAUCUAUCGACCACAGGCAAAAAUUGGCGAUCCGUUGGAUAGGGACCGAGUUAUAGGCAAAACUUGGUGCAAAAAUGAGGAAAAUUUUACAUUUUCACAAACAGGGUAGGGAACUUGGUUCCUCGAAUAACUUCUGGCACAGACAUCUGAGGGCAUGGCCGUCCAAGAAGAAAAUGUAGCCAUUGAUGCCAUCUAUCGACCACAGGCAAAAAUUGACGAUCCGUUGGAUACCGACCGAGUUAUAGACAAAACUUGGUGCAAAAAUGAAGAAAAUUUUACAUUUUCACAAACAGGGUAUGGAACUUGGUUCCUCGAAUAACUUCUGGCACAGACAUCUGAGGGCAUGGCCGUCCAAGAAGAAAAUGUAGUUAUUGAUGCCAUCUAGCGACCACAGGCAAAGAUUGGCGAUCCGUUGGAUACCGACCGAGUUAUAGACAAAACUUGGUGCAAAAAUGAGCCUUGGAGAUUGGUAAAUGUAUAGAUUUUUUUGAUUUUUUUAAUUAUUUGUAUGCUUUUUUAAAUUUUAAGCAUUAUU